RNAcentral lists this unclassified non-coding RNA (3768 nucleotides) under Diabrotica virgifera virgifera (western corn rootworm). Its description in RNAcentral is "voltage-dependent calcium channel subunit alpha- 2/delta-3-like". Lineage: Eukaryota; Metazoa; Arthropoda; Insecta; Coleoptera; Chrysomelidae. The record is from RNAcentral.
UUCAUCACGAUGGUGUCCUAGAAAUCUUGUUGGUCUAGACUUUCCGGCUUCUUCCAUCUCCCGAUAACCAUGCGCGUUUCUCGAAUCUUUCGCAAAGCGCAAUUAUUUUGAAUUUGUGGUGCCUUUUUGUCGCGCUAGGCAUUUUUACAAUUUUUGGUAGGAUAAACCUACACAUUGUUCCUCAAUAUGAAACUGAUCUUGUUAUUACUUUUCGUUUUGUGUACCUUGAUUUUUAAAAGUGAAAGUAAUGUAAGACUGAAGGCGAAUGAAGACUGGCGAGCAAUGGAAAGAGCUAAAAGCAUGGUGUCCAUGUGGGCCAAAAAAAUAGGCGCCAAACUUCAGCAGUUGAGCAAAAAGAUGACAAGAGAAGACGAGGUAGAAAAGAGCUUUGUAAUACUUGAAGACAAACUAGUCCAAGAAGAUGCAGCAGAUCUAAUACACGACGUAGCCUAUGAUAUUGAGACAAUGAUGAAACAAAAGGAAGAAGCUGUUCAUAACAUCGCCGAUUACAUGGAAUUUAUUCAUUAUCAUCGUAAUGAUACACCGUUAUUUGAAAACGGCACCUAUGAGUAUUUUAAUGCUGAUAAUUUAACUUCUACUGAUUAUACUCCUGAAGCUUUGGACGAUCUGCAUUCUAUUAUUCUUAAUAAUGAAUGCCAUUGGAAAUGUGAACAACCAAGCAAGUCAGAUCUUACAAAUAACAAGUUUGCAAAUCCAAAAAGAAGACUUAAACUUUUUGCUCCACGAGACAAUGAAGAAGGCAGAGAAUGCAACUGUAAGCAUUUACCAGAAAAAGAAAGACCUCGGCGUACAUAUGAGAGUCUGCCAUUAAAAGAUGAUUCCAGGUUUGGGACUAAGGUCAACUUGGAUAUUAGUAUUGCUAAGUUAGCAUUAAAUGUAUACGAGAGAGAACAAGAUGUACUAGAGGGAUUAAGAUGGUCUGAAGCUUUAGAUUUGGUAUUUAAAGAAAAUUAUAAGAAUGAUCAUACACUUACCUGGCAGUACUUUGCUAGUCCUAAAGGAUUCAUGAGACAUUAUCCAGCUGUUCAAUGGGAGGAUGAAAACUACAAAAAAACCUAUGACUUCCGCACACGAACUUGGUACACAGAAGCAUUUACUUCUCCAAAAGAUAUAAUCAUACUGGUAGACAGAUCAGGAUCUAUAAUCGGAACAAGACGAGCCCUGUCCGACCAAAUUGUUAACCAGAUAUUAGAUACUCUCAAUGACAAUGAUUUUGUUAAUAUCUAUACGUUUGCAAAUUUUACUGAGCCCCUUGUGAAAUGUUUCAAUGAUACACUCUUUCAGGCAAACGAAGAAAAUUUGAGAUUACUAAGGCAAGCUAUUCCAGUUUACGAAGAAAUGUUUGCAGCAGAUUUAACUAUUGGUAUUAGUAAGGCAUUUGAUAUUUUAGAAAAUUUCAGAAGGACGCAAACAAGUGCUAAUUGCAACCAGGCUAUAAUGGUAAUUCAUGAAGGGCUUGAUUAUGACUACGAUAAAGAAAUAUAUGCCAAUAGAAACUGGAAGAAAAACUUUCCUGUGCGAAUUUUUACUUACCAACUAGGUCAGGAUACAACAGACGCCAGAGAAUUGGAAUGGAUCGCAUGUUCAAAUAUGGGUUAUUGGGGCAAUAUAACAGAUAUGGGGGACAUACGUGAGAAAAUGCUCCAAUAUCUUAAUGUUAUGUCCCGUCCCAUAAAUUUAAAAGCUGACAAGAAUCGAACAUUUAUAUGGAGUUACCUUCACGUGGACCUUGCAGAUAGAAGACUGUCAAACUGGCUGUGGAAAAAAUUUGAGGGCAUACGACAAAGAGAUGUCUUCUUAGAUUACAUCAAAAGGGGUAUUUUUCGACAGAAUUUGAUGUUAACCAGCGAAAAACAUAUGCUUUUAAAAGAGGAAUACACUUAUCAAACUUACCUCUCCUACCAAAGAGAUAAUUCUGCAUACGAUUAUAUGACCACAGUUUCUUUACCUGUGUUUGCAAGAAGACCACAUGAAUAUCAACUGUUGGGCGUAGCAGGCAUAGAUGUUCCCUUAAGUUUAUUUAAACAGCUCAUCCCUUACGAAAGGUUAGGGGUAAAUGGUUACGCCUUUAUUGUUACUAAUAACGGCUAUAUUCUUACACAUCCGGAUCAUCAUACAGAGUUUCAGUAUAUUUUAAAACCUACGUUCAAUCGAGUAGACAUCUUAGAAGUAGAGAUUCUAAAUGAUGAUAAGGAGCCCAGAAUGUUUGGAGACUCAGUAGUUAAGUUUCGAAAAAAACUAGUUAACCAGGAAAGCAGUGUCAACGUAACCCUAAAAGUCAAAUAUGCUUUGAAUGACAAUAAACGGUUGAUGUUUGCUCAUAGACACUACUAUUUUGCUGCAAUUGGACCUUUCACACUCUGCGUUGUACUGCCGCAUAAAUACGGAUUUGACAUUGUUAACAAAACAUUGUUAGAGCGUCCCAGUGUCAAAAGCAGUGCUUCUUCUUUAGCUUCGUCCUAUUGGAAAGUACAUCCAGAUUGGAUCUAUUGUAAAAAAUGUGUAGGUGAUACCCCAGAAGAUAAAGUAAGGUCCGCAUUCAGCUUGAAUGAAAACUCAUCCCUUCUGACUUCACUCCUAUACGAUAUGGAAGCCACAAAAUGGUUUGACGAAUAUGGCGGGUCUGACCCCGUAGAAGAACAAUUCGUCAUAGAUUAUCAAGUUCACAAAGUGUUUUUAGCCACCUAUUCGGGAUUGACCAGAUGGAGAAACUUUGAGGACAUCAAUAAUAUAAGGGAAGAAGAUGAAGAUAGUUUUGAGAAGAGGAAUAAUCGAGCUAUUGAUGAGGACUGGUAUCGAAGAGCUGUGGAAUUGAAUUUCGGAGAUGAAAGUAUGUUUAUAUAUUCAGUUCCGUGGGAAACAUCUGGUUAUGAAAAUAAUACAAUGAUUACGAGUACCAAAGCUAUAUUUGUGGAGAAUGGCGAUCUUAAGAGCCCGGUGGCGGUUGUAGGACUUCAGUUCAAUCACAGAGAAAUGUAUGAAUGGUACAAUGAUAUUACUACGCAGUGUAAAGAAACUCGAUGUAAAAUAACCUGCAAGCACAAAGAUCUAAACUGCUAUAUCCUAGACAAUAACGCCUACAUCGUUCUCAGCGAUGAACCUGAAUAUAUAGGAAGAUAUAUCGGAGACAUCCGACCGGACAUUCUAUCAGAUCUCAUCGACGAUAAAAUUUUCAUACCAACAAGAAUGUUCGAUUAUCAAGCAAUUUGCCAAAAGAUUCCUCCAAAGAAAGAACCGGAGGCUGUGCGCAUUCGAAAAAGGAAAGAGAAGAUGGCGGCGAAAAAACCAAAAGCCAGAGCUGUGAAGAGUUCUGCUGCGCCUACAGUUGUAAAAGUUUUUUGGAUCAUUCCAAACAGAAAAGGUCUUUAGUGACAUUUCUCUAAAGUUGAAAGUUUUUGACAUAUAAGCUAUUAAAAAUUGAAAAAUUGCGAAGUCGUCCAUAUUUAACCCUCAAAAACUAUGUGAAAAACUGAAAAAUUGAAUGUUGCGAAGAUAAUGAAUCAUUUUUGGGCUUUAAAAGAUUGGCUUGUAACUACAUUUUAUCUUCUCUUUAAUGUAGUGACAGGUCAAGAAGAUGAAAUCUAUAAUAGCACUAAAGAGGAGUAUAUAAACUUUGCUAAACUAAUAAUCGAAAAAACAGUACCAACGCCCUGCGAUCAAGAAAGAUGGUUGUUUAACUUAAAUACCAGUGCCAAAUUUCCAUUUAGUCAGUUUGUAGAAGGGACAAAAUUUCAAUGCAGUUGGUAA